This 555-nucleotide ribosomal RNA is filed under the name Sarcophaga melanura. RNAcentral's name for it is "partial 16S ribosomal RNA". It matches the Rfam family "Bacterial large subunit ribosomal RNA", at positions 1796 to 2620 of the family's 2925-position model. Lineage: Eukaryota; Metazoa; Arthropoda; Insecta; Diptera; Sarcophagidae. The record is from RNAcentral.
UCGCCUGUUUAACAAAAACAUGUCUUUUUGAAAUUUUUUUAAAGUCUAACCUGCCCACUGAAUAAAUUUAAAUGGCCGCAGUAUACUAACUGUGCAAAGGUAGCAUAAUCAUUAGUCUUUUAAUUGAAGGCUGGUAUGAAUGGUUGGACGAGAUAUUAACUGUUUCAUAAAAAUUUAUAGUAGAAUUUUAUUUUUUAGUCAAAAAGCUAAAAUAAUAUUAAAAGACGAGAAGACCCUAUAAAUCUUUAUAUAUAAAUUGUUGGAAUUUUGUAGAUUUUUUUUAUUACAAUAGUUGAUUAUAUUUUAUUGGGGUGAUAUUAAAAUUUAAUAAACUUUUAAUUAUUUAAAUCAUUAAUUUAUGAAUAAUUGAUCCGUUAAUAACGAUUAAAAAAAUAAGUUACUUUAGGGAUAACAGCGUAAUUUUUUUGGAGAGUUCAUAUCGAUAAAAAAGAUUGCGACCUCGAUGUUGGAUUAAGAUAUAAUUUUAGGUGUAGCCGCUUAAAUUUUAAGUCUGUUCGACUUUUAAAUUCUUACGUGAUCUGAGUUCAGACCGGA